AUACGUAGGGGGCGAGCGUUGUCCGGAAUGACUGGGCGUAAAGGGCGUGUAGGCGGCCGAUUAAGUCUGGAGUGAAAGUCCUGCAUUCAAUGUGGGAAUUGCUUUGGAGACUGGUUGGCUUGAGUGCGGAAGAGGUAAGUGGAAUUCCCAGUGUAGCGGUGAAAUGCGUAGAGAUUGGGAGGAACACCAGUGGCGAAGGCGACUUACUGGGCCGUAACUGACGCUGAGGCGCGAAAGCGUGGGGAGCGAACAGGAUUAGAUACCCUGGUAGUCCACGCGGUAAACGAUGAAUGCUAGGUGUUGCGGGUAUCGACCCCUGCAGUGCCGGAGUAAACACAAUAAGCAUUCCGCCUGGGGAGUACGGCCGCAAGGUUGAAACUCAAAGGAAUUGACGGGG
Molecule: ribosomal RNA, 397 nt
Filed under: uncultured bacterium
Lineage: Bacteria
Description: partial 16S ribosomal RNA
Rfam family: Bacterial small subunit ribosomal RNA
Source: RNAcentral